GACGAACGCUGGCGGCGUGCUUAACACAUGCAAGUCGAACGGAAAGGCCCUGCUUUUGUGGGGUGCUCGAGUGGCGAACGGGUGAGUAACACGUGAGUAACCUGCCCUUGACUUUGGGAUAACUUCAGGAAACUGGGGCUAAUACCGGAUAGGAGCUCCUGCUGCAUGGUGGGGGUUGGAAAGUUUCGGCGGUUGGGGAUGGACUCGCGGCUUAUCAGCUUGUUGGUGGGGUAGUGGCUUACCAAGGCUUUGACGGGUAGCCGGCCUGAGAGGGGGACCGGCCACAUUGGGACUGAGAUACGGCCCAGACGCCUACGGGAGGCAGCAGUGGGGAAUAUGGCACAAUGGGCGGAAGCCUGAUGCAGCAACGCCGCGUGCGGGAUGACGGCCUUCGGGGUGUAAACCGCUGUCGCCUGUGACGAAGCGUGAGUGACGGUAAUGGGUAAAGAAGCAACGGCUAACUACGUG
Molecule: ribosomal RNA, 468 nt
Filed under: uncultured bacterium
Lineage: Bacteria
Description: partial 16S ribosomal RNA
Rfam family: Bacterial small subunit ribosomal RNA
Source: RNAcentral